This 388-nucleotide ribosomal RNA is filed under the name uncultured Tolypothrix sp. RNAcentral's name for it is "bacterial SSU rRNA". It matches the Rfam family "Bacterial small subunit ribosomal RNA", at positions 371 to 782 of the family's 1533-position model. Lineage: Bacteria; Bacillati; Cyanobacteriota; Cyanophyceae; Nostocales; Tolypothrichaceae. The record is from RNAcentral.
AAAUAAUCCAUUAGUGACGGACAUCCCGCGUCGAGGGUGAAGGUCCCGGGCCGAGCCCCUCCCAUAGGGAAAGAAAAUGACGGUCCCGAGGAAAAGCACCGGCUAACCCCGUGUCAGCAGUCGCGGUAAUACGGAGGAGGCAAGCGUCAUCCGGAAUGAUCGGGCGUAAAGCGUUCGCAGGUGGCUAUGUAAGUCUGCUGUUAAAGAGUGAGGCUCAACCUCAUAAGAGCAGUGGAAACUACAUAGCUAGAGUGCGUUCGGGGCAGAGGGAAUUCCUGGUGUAGCGGUGAAAUGCGUAGAGAUCAGGAAGAACACCGGUGGCGAAAGCGCUCUGCUAGGCCGCAACUGACACUGAGGGACGAAAGCUAGGGGAGCGAAAGGGAUUAAC